GACGAACGCUGGCGGCGUGCUUAACACAUGCAAGUCGAACGGAAAGGCCUGCUUUCCCUUGUGGAUUGCGGGUACUCGAGUGGCGAACGGGUGAGUAACACGUGAGUGAUCUGCCCCCAACUUGGGUAUAAGCCUGGGAAACUGGGUCUAAUUCCCGAUAGGACUGCAGGGUGGUGCCUGUGGUGGAAAACGAUUUGCUAGUGGUUGGGGAUGAGCUCGCGGCCUAUCAGCUUGUUGGUGGGGUAAUGGCCGACCAAGGCGGCGACGGGUAGCCGGCCUGGGAGGGUGGACGGCGACAGUGGGACUGGGUUACGGCCCAGACUCCUAGGGGAGGCAGCAGUGGGGAAGAUUGCACAAUGGGCGGAAGCCUGAUGCAGCGACGCCGCGUGGGGGAUGACGGCCUUCGGGUUGUAAACUCCUUUCGACCGCGAGGAAGCCACCUGGUUGGAAGGGUGGUGACGGUAGUGGUAGAAGAAGCACCGGCUAACUACGUG
This 494-nucleotide ribosomal RNA is filed under the name uncultured bacterium. RNAcentral describes it as "partial 16S ribosomal RNA". It matches the Rfam family "Bacterial small subunit ribosomal RNA", at positions 28 to 507 of the family's 1533-position model. The record is from RNAcentral.